Small nuclear RNA from Otolemur garnettii (small-eared galago), 107 nucleotides. Lineage: Eukaryota; Metazoa; Chordata; Mammalia; Primates; Galagidae. The record is from Ensembl.
GUGCUCGCUUGGGCAGCACAUAUGCUAAAAUUGGAACAAUACGGAGAAGGUUAGCAUGGCCCCUGCACAAGGAUGACAUGCAAAUUCCUGAAGCAUUCCAUAUCAUA